GACCUCAAAUCAGGUAGGACUACCCGCUGAACUUAAGCAUAUCAAUAAGCGGAGGAAAAGAAACUAACAAGGAUUCCCCUAGUAACUGCGAGUGAAGCGGGAAGAGCUCAAAUUUUGAAUCUGGCGGUCUCCGGCCGUCCGAGUUGUAAUCUAGAGAAGCGUCUUCCGCGCUGGACCGUGUACAAGUCUCCUGGAAGGGAGCAUCGUAGAGGGUGACAAUCCCGUCUCCGACACGGACUACC
Molecule: ribosomal RNA, 242 nt
Filed under: uncultured fungus
Lineage: Eukaryota; Fungi
Description: partial 28S large subunit ribosomal RNA
Rfam family: Eukaryotic large subunit ribosomal RNA
Source: RNAcentral